UGGGGAAUAUUGGGCAAUGGGGGAAACCCUGACCCAGCGACGCCGCGUGGGUGAUGAAGGCCUUCGGGUCGUAAAGCCCUGUCGGGAGGAACGAAUGCUCUCACGGUAAAUAGCCCUGAGAGGUGACGGUACCUCCGAAGGAAGCACCGGCCAACUCCGUGCCAGCAGCCGCGGUAAGACGGAGGGUGCAAGCGUUGCUCGGAAUCACUGGGCGUAAAGGGUGCGUAGGCGGUCUCUCAAGUCUGGCGUGAAAGCCCAAGGCUCAGCCUUGGAAGUGCGCUAGAAACUGAGAGGCUUGAGUGCCGGAGGGGAGAGUGGAAUUCCCGGUGUAGCGGUGAAAUGCGUAGAUAUCGGGAGGAAUACCGGUGGCGAAAGCGACUCUCUGGACGGCAACUGACGCUGAGGCACGAAAGCGUGGGGAGCAAACAGGAUUAGAUACCCCUGUAGUCC
This 450-nucleotide ribosomal RNA is filed under the name uncultured bacterium. Its description in RNAcentral is "bacterial SSU rRNA". It matches the Rfam family "Bacterial small subunit ribosomal RNA", at positions 355 to 796 of the family's 1533-position model. The record is from RNAcentral.